Long non-coding RNA from Astatotilapia calliptera (eastern happy), 946 nucleotides. Lineage: Eukaryota; Metazoa; Chordata; Actinopteri; Cichliformes; Cichlidae. The record is from Ensembl.
CUCGCAAGUGGAGAGUGUUUGCUAGCGCUGUCUGUAGAAAACGCCGUUUUUACCGUUCUUCCUGCUGUAAACGCCACUAUUUUGUUCAGAAAAAAAACAUCACGUGUAUUUUUUAUCAUAACUCUGGUUUUACGUGGCCCAUCGACACAAUUCAAAAACUGGUAUAUAGUUUGAAGUCUGCACUUUCGACCCAAGGUGAAAUGGAGACUCUGACUUACUGCAUCUUGUAGCUGUGUCGUCUUAAAUUGGUCAUGUGAUUUUGACGCGCCGGCGCGUCCGGCGACCCCAGAGGGUUAAUUCUUCAAAGUGUUCGACAAGGCCCUGGAAACAUUCCUCAUGUCCACAUGGACAUGAUGGCAUCACGCAGUUGCUGCAGAUUUGUUCUCUCUAUUUGUGUGCGUGUGUGUGGUAACCACACCUUACCUUUCAGGGACAGGAUCCUCUUCGUCCCAGCCCAACUAGUUUAAGGGAGAACAAAUGUGGCCGAAGGUUGGAUCUGAUAUGAGGCGAACAGGAGACCGGUCUAAAAAUAUUUAAAGUCUUCAUGAGGGUCAGGUGUGGGAAAAUGCCCCCUAGCAUUUCCUCAUUUUAAGUCCUGAUGACAUCACACAUGACAUCAGCAGGUCGAACCAAGUGGAGGGGUUUCUUUUUCCAUAGAAAUGCUUCCUCUGAAGGGAUUUGUUGAAUCUUUUUCUUUUUGUUAAUAGAGCCAUUUAGUUGUGUAAAUGUGCUAAUUAGACGUGUGAGGAGGUUUUGUCUUUUUUAAUCAUCUGUGUAAAGUUUUAGAUCCCUCAGUUCAAGUGAGUGGUACUGGCUGGGCUAAUUGAAGGGCUGCCAGUCUCUGCCAUAUUCAGAUGAGAGAGGAGAGGUGAGCUGUGUUACCAGAGCCAUGUACCGUUGAGUUUUGUUAACUGAGUUACUUUGGGGGGGGAAGUUUUAUUAAAUG